ACCUCCGAUGGUACACACUGUCAUUACUGGAGCUGCUGUGAGUGGGGCACAGCAGGAGGAGGUAGAGGAAGGAGCUGGGGUCACCAGUCUGUGGUCGAUGCCCUCAGCAGUGGCGUGGGGCUGGGUUGACGUGGGUCAAGUGCUGCCGGAGGAGGAUGAUGAGUGCUCAGCACCCCCUUAGAAGGGCCUGGGGAGUGUGGAAUGGGGGACAGCCAGAUUCCCACCUGCAUGCUGCUGCCGCACCCAUUCGGGAAAUGGCAAGCCCUUCACUUCUUACCUUGCUUCAUAAACCUAGCUGGAAUGUAGGCCCCUCCACAUGGAAAGGUGGCUGAUUGCCAGGCCCAGUGGUGUGGUUUCAAGCUGGAUUUUUGCAUUUUGGGGGAGCCAUGAGGAUGGGGGGGUCCUUACUCCAGUCCAGUGGGAGAAGCAGCUUCACUGCUUUUAGUUGUGUCAUCUUUUAGACCUACAGCAGCUCCUAACAAUGAGAUGGACCCUAGGAGUUUAUCUAAUGUACGUCGACCCUUUAGGAACUGCUCCUCUAACCCUUCAGACACCCAGAGCUAUAGGAUGUGAUUAGCUAGUCAUCUGCACUUUGUUCCUCCCCGCUCUUACCCUCUUCACAUCCACCAGGCCUCACAUCAUGACACCUACAAAACACAGGCCAUCCUCAGUGUGGUUAAAGUAUUUAGGCUGCAGCCUAAGAGCUCAGUAAAAUGAUGAGCAGAUAUGAGUCAGGCUUCACGCUUAGAAUUUCUUUUGUAGGGGACUGCGGGUUGUCUGCAGAACAUUCUGUAGAGUUGGUUCUGACUUUCUUUUCACCUUGCCAGUGCCACUGGAGAGGUGUUGCUCCUGGUGAGGCCGAUGCUCACCAGCCUCUCACUGUUCAUCAUUUAGCUGGAGGACCAGGCCAGGGAUGGCAGAUGAAUAUUGCCUGCAGGGGACUCUGAUUGACAGGCUAGGACUCACCAGAGCCUGAGGAUGCUGUAUCUGGAAACAGCAGGAAAGAGGAACAUAGUCUGGUAGCAGAGUCUGCCUUGGGUGUGGGAGUGGGGACUGGCAUCUGCAUCCUGCAUUCUGGCAAAUCGAGGACAGGUGCUUUGCAGUGUGACCGUGAAGCUGCUGGAUGGAAGCCCUUACUGCUGCCUCCAGAACAGCGGCCCUUGAACUUAGGCUGCAUCAGCAUUGCCUGAAGGGAUUGUUAAAAUGUAGAUCGCUGGGCCCCACACCCGGGGUUUCUGAACUUCCCAUUCUUUUUCUUUUGAGGCAGGGUCUCAGUCUGUCACCCAGGCUGGAGUGCAGUGGCACAAUCAUGACUCGUGCAACCUUGACGUCCCACAUUCAGGUGAUUCUUGUGUCUCAGCCUCCCAGGUAGCUGGGAUUACAGGUGCAUGCCACCACACCCGGCUAAUUUUUUAAUUUUUGUAGAGACGGAGUUUCACCAUGUUGCCCAGACUGAUCUAGAACUCCUGGACUCAAGUGAUCCGCCUGCCUUGGCCUCUCAAAGUGCUGGGAUUACAGGCCUGAGCCACCCUGCCGGGCCUUCUGAGUUUCCAUUCUAACAUGUUCUGGGUGGCAUUGAUGGUGCCAGUCGGGACUACACUGUGGCGGCCACAGUUCUGAAGCAGUGGCUCUUAGCUGCUGUCGGAACACGAACCCUGAGGAGUUUCUGCUCCUCUCCAAAGUAAAAUGCUUAUAAAUUUUAGAUACAUUUCCAUUCAGUCCACAGACUAGAGCCCAUGUAUGGCUAAGAACAUCUGGUCUACAGAUCACUGGGAGGGGUGAAUUCUUUAUUGGUAAUCAAACUUGGAUAACCUUAGCGAUUUCAAGGCUCUUCUUAUAUUUCCACCGGAAUCCAGCCAUGACCUGAUGUGAGGAGUGUGUCGCUGUGUUGAGCUUCUGCCUUGUUUCUCUGUCCACACACACUGCCCAGUGUGGAAUAGAGAAUCAGCCCAAAACAAAGGGUUCUCACACUCCUGUGACAUCAGAAUUUCCGUCCAUAUCAGGCUUUAUAAAAUAUAACGACAUGACCAGAUGCGGUGGCUCACGCCUGUAAUCCCAGCACUUUGGGAGGCUGAGGCAGGUGGAUCACUUGAGGCCAGGAGUUCGAGACAAGCCUGGCCAAUAUGGUGAAACCCCGUCUCUACUAAAAAUACAAAAAAAUUAGCCGGGUGUAGUGGCGGGUGCCUGUAGCCCCAACUACCCGGGAGGCUAAGGCAGGAGAAUGGCGUGAACCCGGGAGGUGGAGCUUGCAGCGAGCCGAGAUAGCACCACGGCACUCCAGCCUGGGCAACAGUGUGAGACU
Molecule: long non-coding RNA, 2302 nt
Organism: Symphalangus syndactylus (siamang)
Lineage: Eukaryota; Metazoa; Chordata; Mammalia; Primates; Hylobatidae
Source: RefSeq, a predicted model, not a curated record